AAUAAGUGCAGUUUUACACUAUUCAUCUUUAACGUUUCACCGUUUAUCUUAUGUGAAAAAUUUUUAUGAUUACUAUUGUUAUUGUUAUUAGAUGAUAAAAUAUGAAUAGUACUUUAUGUAUGACUAUUUUUUUAAAAAAAUUCAUAAUCAAAUAAGAUGACGGUCAAACGUUGACACGGAUUUCCACGGCUGCAUUUAUU
Non-coding RNA from Oryza barthii, 200 nucleotides. NCBI's taxonomy places the organism in Eukaryota, Viridiplantae, Streptophyta, Magnoliopsida, Poales, Poaceae. The record is from Rfam.